Non-coding RNA from Zonotrichia albicollis (white-throated sparrow), 186 nucleotides. The record is from RefSeq and is a predicted model, not a curated record. NCBI's taxonomy places the organism in Eukaryota, Metazoa, Chordata, Aves, Passeriformes, Passerellidae.
CAGGGCUCCCCAGGACUGCGAGGACCCCCAGGACCACCAGGACCCAUCGGCCCUCCAGGCUUCCCUGGAACGCCGGGCGCCCCCGGACUGCCCGGUCUGCAAGGGGAGCGUGGCCCUGCAGGGCUGGCUGGAGCCAAGGGGGAGCCGGGACCUCCAGGACAACCGGGAUACCCUGGGGCCACGGGG